This 559-nucleotide ribosomal RNA is filed under the name uncultured bacterium. RNAcentral's name for it is "partial 16S ribosomal RNA". It matches the Rfam family "Bacterial small subunit ribosomal RNA", at positions 355 to 906 of the family's 1533-position model. The record is from RNAcentral.
UAGGGAAUCUUCCACAAUGGACGCAAGUCUGAUGGAGCAACGCCGCGUGAGUGAAGAAGGUUUUCGGACCGUAAAGCUCUGUUGUUGGUGAAGAAGGAUAGAGGUAGUAACUGGCCUUUAUUUGACGGUAAUCAACCAGAAAGUCACGGCUAACUACGUGCCAGCAGCCGCGGUAAUACGUAGGUGGCAAGCGUUGUCCGGAUUUAUUGGGCGUAAAGCGAGCGCAGGCGGAAGAAUAAGUCUGAUGUGAAAGCCCUCGGCUUAACCGAGGAAUUGCAUCGGAAACUGUUUUCUUGAGUGCAGAAGAGGAGAGUAGAACUCCAUGUGUAGCGGUGGAAUGCGUAGAUAUAUGGAAGAAUACCAGUGGCGAAGGCGGCUCUCUGGUCUGCAACUGACGCUGAGGCUCGAAAGCAUGGGUAGCGAACAGGAUUAGAUACCCUGGUAGUCCAUGCCGUAAACGAUGAGUGCUAAGUGUUGGGAGGCUUCCGCCUCCCAGUGCUGCAGCUAACGCAUUAAGCACUCCGCCUGGGGAGUACGACCGCAAGGUUGAAACUCUAAA